ACAACAAGCCCAGAUCUCUCCCACCCGGACCUAAACUUACCCAGUCUGUAAGCGGGGGCGGGCUCUGGCCUUAGUUGGUGUCCCCCUCCGCGGGUGUUUGUUCGGUAAACCUGUGUUGCUGUAGAGCCGCCUCCGUCCGUUUUUCCUCCCGUUCCUGCGCUAACAAUGACAUUAUACCAAAUGUAACUGAUAUACUAAUACAUGCUGCUGUAAUAAGGAGUCCUCAUUUAAGUUACUGUGUCCAAAAUGAGUUUCCAGUGGUCCUCCAUCUUGAUACAUGCUCCAGUAUCACUUAUACAGAAAGGGUGGACAUGGACACAAGGGUUCAUGGGUGGUUAGCCUCAAAGACAAAUAUUAGUGAUGAACAUCAUGCUGUACUCAGAAUUGCUUCUCUUGACUGAUAAUGAAAGCUUUUUCACUAAGCCACGCUUGACUGCCUGACUCUUCCAUUAUGAUGAGCCCUCUCCCAGGAUGCUCCUCAGGGGUUUAUUACAGUUGACUUCUGGAUCAGGC
Molecule: long non-coding RNA, 513 nt
Organism: Homo sapiens (human)
Lineage: Eukaryota; Metazoa; Chordata; Mammalia; Primates; Hominidae
Exons: 3
Source: RefSeq, a predicted model, not a curated record